Molecule: long non-coding RNA, 2359 nt
Organism: Micropterus salmoides (largemouth bass)
Lineage: Eukaryota; Metazoa; Chordata; Actinopteri; Centrarchiformes; Centrarchidae
Exons: 7
Source: RefSeq, a predicted model, not a curated record
ACUCACCGUCAGCCGGGCUGCCACCACAACACCAGUAACGUUAACGUUACAACGAAGAUAAAGUUAACAGUGAGAGUAAAACCUACGAGAUACACUGGCAAGUGACCCCUUCUUCCAGGCGUAUCUUAUAGUUGGACUUGCAAGGUGGAAUGAGGACCGGGCUGUGGUAGCAACAACUGACGAGCAGCAGCCGAAUUCGUACAAUCAUCUUCUCCGUCAUGCUGUCAACACUCUUGGAGAGGAGGUUAUGGGCAAGAAAAUCAUCCCUUACAUUGGGCCAAGAAAAUACACUGGCGAGCUUAUCAGAGUUGAAUACCUUUUAACCGGCAAACUUCUACAGAACUACAAGUUGGCCAUUGAGGAGUCCGAGACCACAUAUGUUGGUUUAGAGGUGGAUGAAGGUUGCGCUGAACUUGAGGAGUUUUAGGACAUCGUUGUUCCCACCUUCGACACAGAAUGAACACCUGCUGCCUCCUCUCAAGCAUCGGGGUCUGCGGCGUCUGUGGUCCCUCCAUCACCUGUAACAUCUGCUAUAACCAGCUCCCCAGUAGACCAAUUGUCAGUGGAAAUGGAUCUUCUGAAGAGAACAUCUGAAGAGACAACUUCACAUGUUGAUUCAGUUGGACCCGACAAUAGGACUUGGCAGAGUUUUUGAUUGGCCUCAGAGAUCACCGCCUUGCCUUGACUGGAGAAGAAUGUGUCAAGAUCAUAACCCUGUGGUAGGCAUUGGGGGAGUACUACAAGAAGAAGACCAUUUACCCACCACGUCACCAGACCACCAUUAAACAGGGACGAUUCAGGACCACCAAGAAGAUUUUGGCACCAGGUGUGGAGAGCACCAAAAGGUUUUUCAUUGGGGCUCAUAGUCCUACACAGUGGCCUGACUGCAACAGAGUGGUAGAGGCCGUCUUCACAAGGCUCUGUGUUCUCUAUCCAAACGCAGUGUGCUGUGACGGAGUGAGGGUGUCCCACUUUACAAUGGUAGCACGUACUUACAAGCACAUCCGAGAGUGCAUCCUCACCAAUGCUAAGGUGAUGAGUGAAACCACCAUCCAGCUCCCAGAGGUGAAUGCUGCAACAGUCACACAGUGAUUCAGCAGGCGUUGCAAGUCACAAAAACAAGAUAUUCUGAAGCAGGGUAUCCAAGCACCAGACUCACCCAUGGCAGGACAUGAGAACCUUCCUGCAGCAAUGCAGAAAGGGCCAACACUGCCAAGGAGGUGACGCUCAAGGGGAGAUCGCAACCUCAGGUCAUCUCUCAGGCUCCACCAUUACAUCAAGCACUUCCUGUCAUUGCACCAGCACCACCCGUCUCUUUCCCUUUCAUUCUACCAUCUGUGCAGCUUCCUACAGUGCCUGGACCCUCACAGGUGAUGUUCUUCAACCUCCCAUUACCUUCACCCACGCCACCAUCAAGUCAGACACAGACAUCCAGUCAAUCUAUUCCUUAUAGCACUCAACAAUACAGAAAGAGGAGAGGGAGCACACUGGAACUGUCAAAAGGAAAUAUGUAAAAAUGACAGAUGUCAUUCUUUGCAGAAAGUGCAACAAAGAGAGAAAGCCACCAUCACAUCUUCAGUACUUUGGGAACUGGUAUUGUGAAGAGUCUGAGAGCCAGUCAUGUGGUGAAUGGAGGGCUGUUCUGGAGGAACGAGGCUAUAGGGGGGGGGAAAGCCAGGAAAUGACAACCCACCAUCUUCUUAAACUUGUUGUUUGUAUCUUUAAGUAUUUUCUUUCAUUUAUUUGUUUAAUGGCACCACAGAGUAAGUAUUAGCUAUCACAUGUAAUUCCAACCAAAUACCGUGACUCUCCAGAGAAAACUUCUUAUUCAAAAGCUGACUUGUAGGUUAGAACAAAAGCAUCCACUGCAGUUUUUGUCAUUAACUGCUUCCUUAAGUGGUAAAAUCUGUAAAUUUCAGAAGUUGGUUCUUCUGCGUUCUUCUUCAUCAUUGUUUUAAAAAUUUACGUUAUAGAGUUUCCAGGAAUGAUAUGUGUCUCUGAAAUGAAGAAUAAUGUUUUUGGAAGUAUGCUGGUGUGUGUGAUGCAUCUUGUUUUUUCUGAGAAUGUUUUUUUUCGUCUUCACUGCUUGUAUCCUCUGCUCUCUGUUCGGGAAAAUGUUUCAGGUAUAUGUUGUAAUGUAAUUCAGCAGGGUCAACAGAUUUUUGUAUUCAUGAUGGGUGUGAAAUGGUGUAAAUCCGUACCUUAUUUAUGUGAGAGUACUCUUAAGAUGAAAGUUCGAUAGUACUCAUGUUCCCUGUUUUGGGCAAAUGUCAGCUCAGGGAUUGAUGUUCUCACUUCAGGUGCCGGCAUAUCUCACAUCUAUAUAUUUGUGGAGGUCUGUAUUAUUGUUUUGUUCAUU